AUUGAACGCUGGCGGCAGGCCCAACACAUGCAAGUCGAAUGGUAACAGGAAACAGCUUGCUGUUUCGCUGACGAGUGGCGGACGGGUGAGUAAUGUCUGGGAAACUGCCUGAUGGAGGGGGAUAACUACUGGAAACGGUAGCUAAUACCGCAUAACGUCGCAAGACCAAAGAGGGGGAACUUCGGGCCUCUUGCCAUCAGAUGUGCCCAGAUGGGAUUAGCUAGUAGGUGGGGUAACGGCUCACCUAGACGACGAUCCCUAGCUGGCCUGAGAGAACGACCAGCCACACUGGAACGGAGACACGGUCCAGACUCCUACGGGAGGAAGCAGUGGGGAAUAUUGCACAAUGGGCGCAAGCCUGAUGCAGCCAUGCCGCGUGUAUGAAGAAGGCCUUCGGGUUGUAAAGUACUUUCAGCGGGGAGGAAGGGAGUAAAGUUAAUACCUUUGCUCAUUGACGUUACCCGCAGAAGAAGCACCGGCUAACUCCGUG
Molecule: ribosomal RNA, 490 nt
Filed under: uncultured bacterium
Lineage: Bacteria
Description: partial 16S ribosomal RNA
Rfam family: Bacterial small subunit ribosomal RNA
Source: RNAcentral